Molecule: ribosomal RNA, 497 nt
Filed under: uncultured bacterium
Lineage: Bacteria
Description: partial 16S ribosomal RNA
Rfam family: Bacterial small subunit ribosomal RNA
Source: RNAcentral
GAUGAACGCUGGCGGCGUGCCUAAUACAUGCAAGUCGAGCGAACGGACGAGAAGCUUGCUUCUCUGAUGUUAGCGGCGGACGGGUGAGUAACGCGUGGAUAACCUACCUAUAAGACUGGGAUAACUUCGGGAAACCGGAGCUAAUACCGGAUAAUAUUUUGAACCGCAUGGUUCAAAAGUGAAAGACGGUCUUGCUGUCACUUAUAGAUGGAUCCGCGCUGCAUUAGCUAGUUGGUAAGGUAACGGCUUACCAAGGCAACGAUGCAUAGCCGACCUGAGAUGGUGAUCGGCCACACUGGAACUGAGACACGGUCCAGACUCCUACGGGAGGCAGCAGUAGGGAAUCUUCCGCAAUGGGCGAAAGCCUGACGGAGCAACGCCGCGUGAGUGAUGAAGGUCUUCGGAUCGUAAAACUCUGUUAUUAGGGAAGAACAUAUGUGUAAGUAACUGUGCACAUCUUGACGGUACCUAAUCAGAAAGCCACGGCUAACUACGUG